RNAcentral lists this ribosomal RNA (570 nucleotides) under Graphium penicillioides. RNAcentral's name for it is "SSU rRNA". It matches the Rfam family "Bacterial small subunit ribosomal RNA", at positions 349 to 962 of the family's 1533-position model. The record is from RNAcentral. RNAcentral also lists the same sequence under 1 other name. Lineage: Eukaryota; Fungi; Ascomycota; Sordariomycetes; Microascales; Graphiaceae.
CAGCAGUCAAGAAUAUUAGUCAAUGGCCUAACGGCCGAACCGGCAACUUAGGGAAAUGUAAAUUGAAUUUUUCAAAUAAAGUUUUGUCUAUAUAUCAAUAAUGACGAUAUAUAUAAAUAGUCUUGACUAAUUACGUGCCAGCAGUCGCGGUAAUACGUAAGAGACAAGUGUUAUUCAUCUUGAAUAGGUUUAAAGGGUACUUAGAUGGUUAGAUUGACUUAAUAAAAAGUAGUAUUUAACUAGAGUUUUAUAAAAGAAGACAGUACUCUUAAGUGUAAAGAUAAAAUUUUAUGAUACUAUGAGGACUGGUUAAGGCGAAGGCAGUCUUUUAUGUAAAAACUGACAUCGAAGGACGAAGGCAAAGGUAGCGAACAGGAUUAGAUACCCUAGUAGUCUUUGCAGAAAAUGAUGAAUGCUAUAGGUUAGAUAACGAUCAUUAAUUGACUUUUUAGUCUAUAAGCGAAAGCAUAAGCAUUUCACCUCAAGAGUAAAGUGGCAACGCCGGAACUGAAAUCACUAGACCGUUUCUGACACCAGUAGUGAAGUAUGUUAUUUAAUUCGAUAAUCCGC